RNAcentral lists this long non-coding RNA (445 nucleotides) under Canis lupus familiaris (dog). RNAcentral's name for it is "lncRNA (ENSCAFG00000055291.1)". Lineage: Eukaryota; Metazoa; Chordata; Mammalia; Carnivora; Canidae. The record is from RNAcentral.
GUCAGGAAACAGCCUGUCACACGAAGUGUGUCUCAAGCUCAUUGAUCUUUUCAGGGCCUGGCGGGUCUUCAACAUCACCGUGCUUGUUCCGCCUACUUCGCCCGCACUGGGACCAUGUUCCAGAAUGUGCAGGGCAGAGGUCACUUCCAAAGGAUGCCUUCUCCCUGCGUGAGGCUCAGAGUGUGUCCGAGGAGACGGGAUGCUCAGGUGAGCGGAGCCUGAAGAACACGGCACCGAAGGGCAGCCCCUGCCCUAGACCAGACCCCGCAGCGGAAGGGAAGGUGCUACGUGGGACGGGACAUACGGGCGAAGGAGACCCCAUGUCAGAGCGACGCUCACGGAGGCUGCGAGCUGGCAGGUCCACCUGAGAAGCGCUCCGGCCCCGGGAAGCACCCGCGGAAGUACCUGGGGACCAAGAGCCAGGGUGGGUUCAGCGUCCUCCCAA